Molecule: small RNA, 27 nt
Filed under: Bombyx mori (domestic silkworm)
Lineage: Eukaryota; Metazoa; Arthropoda; Insecta; Lepidoptera; Bombycidae
Description: piRNA piR-bmo-1866785
Source: RNAcentral
CCGAACAGGGAUUGUAGGUCCAAGCUU